This 572-nucleotide ribosomal RNA is filed under the name uncultured bacterium. Its description in RNAcentral is "bacterial SSU rRNA". It matches the Rfam family "Bacterial small subunit ribosomal RNA", at positions 8 to 599 of the family's 1533-position model. The record is from RNAcentral.
AGAGUUUGAUCCUGGCUCAGAACGAACGCUGGCGGCGUGGAUAAGACAUGCAAGUCGCACGGAGAAAAGAUAGUUUACUAGCUUUUCUGAGUGGCGCACGGGUGAGUAACACGUGAGCAACCUGCCUCUUAGUGGGGGAUAGCCCUGGGAAACCGGGAUUAAUACCGCAUAUCAUCGCAAGAUGAAAGCAGCAAUGCGCUAAGAGAGGGGCUCGCGGCCUAUUAGUUAGUUGGUGAGGUAACGGCUCACCAAGGCGAUGACGGGUAGCCGGUCUGAGAGGAUGUCCGGCCACACUGGAACUGAGACACGGUCCAGACACCUACGGGUGGCAGCAGUCGAGAAUCAUUCACAAUGGGGGAAACCCUGAUGGUGCGACGCCGCGUGGGGGAAGAAGGUCUUCGGAUUGUAAACCCCUGUCAUGUGGGAGCAAGCUAGCAAUAGUUGAUAGUACCACAAGAGGAAGAGACGGCUAACUCUGUGCCAGCAGCCGCGGUAAUACAGAGGUCUCAAGCGUUGUUCGGAAUCACUGGGCGUAAAGGGUACGUAGGCUGUACCAUAAGUCGGGCGUGAAA